This 465-nucleotide ribosomal RNA is filed under the name uncultured bacterium. Its description in RNAcentral is "partial 16S ribosomal RNA". It matches the Rfam family "Bacterial small subunit ribosomal RNA", at positions 28 to 507 of the family's 1533-position model. The record is from RNAcentral.
GACGAACGCUGGCGGCGUGCUUAACACAUGCAAGUCGAACGGAAAGGCCCCUUUGGGGGUCCUCGAGUGGCGAACGGGUGCGUAACACGUGAGUAACCUGCCCUUGACUUCGGGAUAACUUCAGGAAACUGGGGCUAAUACCGGAUAGGAAUCCUUGCUGCAUGGUGGGGGUUGGAAAGCUUCGGCGGUUUUGGAUGGACUCGCGGCUUAUCAGCUUGUUGGUGGGGUAGUGGCUUACCAAGGCUUUGACGGGUAGCCGGCCUGAGAGGGCGACCGGCCACAUUGGGACUGAGAGACGGCCCAGACUCCUACGGGAGGCAGCAGGGGGGAAGAUUGCACAAGGGGCGGAAGCCGGAUGCAGCAACGCCGCGUGCGGGAUGACGGCCUUCGGGUUGUAAACCGCUUUCAGCAGGGGCGAAGCUUGUGGUGACGGUACCUGCAGAAGAAGCACCGGCUAACUACGUG